RNAcentral lists this ribosomal RNA (486 nucleotides) under uncultured bacterium. RNAcentral describes it as "partial 16S ribosomal RNA". It matches the Rfam family "Bacterial small subunit ribosomal RNA", at positions 30 to 507 of the family's 1533-position model. The record is from RNAcentral.
AUUGAACGCUGGCGGCAUGCCUUACACAUGCAAGUCGAACGGCAGCACGGGUGCUUGCACCUGGUGGCGAGUGGCGAACGGGUGAGUGAUACAUCGGAACAUGUCCUGUAGUGGGGGAUAGCCCGGCGAAAGCCGGAUUAAUACCGCAUACGAUCUACGGAUGAAAGCGGGGGACCUUCGGGCCUCGCGCUAUAGGGUUGGCCGAUGGCUGAUUAGCUAGUUGGUGGGGUAAAGGCCUACCAAGGCGACGAUCAGUAGCUGGUCUGAGAGGACGACCAGCCACACUGGGACUGAGACACGGCCCAGACUCCUACGGGAGGCAGCAGUGGGGAAUUUUGGACAAUGGGCGAAAGCCUGAUCCAGCAAUGCCGCGUGUGUGAAGAAGGCCUUCGGGUUGUAAAGCACUUUUGUCCGGAAAGAAAUCCUUGGCCCUAAUACGGUCGGGGGAUGACGGUACCGGAAGAAUAAGCACCGGCUAACUACGUG